GCAUAAUCCACGAACGAGUAGAUCACGUUGUUGUCCUCGAAAUCCCAGCGGGAGGCCAGCCCCACGUCGAAAUCCAUGUCCUGCUCCACCUCACUCAGCUGGAUCUCAUGGGUGGUGAUGUAAGGCUUUCUGAUCCCCGGAGCGGUGUUCCAGUGUAAGUUUCACUGUCCGGGGACUCGCCCUCUGGAUUCUGGCUGAAGCGCACAUCUCCACAUAUUUUGCUUCUCGCUGGGAGGAGGCUGAAGGCUGGGGAAGUGGCCGCAGCUGCUGCUGGCGCUCCCGGCUGUCUUGCUUUCUGCUCACUGGAUCCUGUACUUGCACCAGUCUGGCCUGCGAGUUCGGCUCAGGAGUGGCGGCUUCCAUUCCGAGUCCUUGCCCAGGUUCCAGCGACAGGAAGAGGCAGUGAUGAACUCAGUGAUUGCCUACCUGAUCUCACUUCUUGAGCAAUUAACAGUGACUAAUGUUACCAGCAUUAACCCAGGCCAUGAGACGAGCAGUUUUGCUCUACCAUAUAACCCCACCAUGAUGUGUUACCACAAAGCCAAAGCAACAGAGUCAAGCCAUCAUGGACUGAAACCUCAACCUGUGAACCAAAAUACUUCUUUUCUCUUUGUAGAUCGUUUACCUCGGGUAUUUUGUUAUAGUGAUAGAAAGUUAAAUAAAAUUACCUACACGUUAAAAACAAGGAUAUUUAAACCUUCUCUAUAGCCAUUCUAAGGUACUAUUUUGUGUUUAUUUUCAGGAAGCCUUCAUAAACUAUUUUGACUAAAGAAUUUAGACAAAAAUAAAUUAAUUUAAAUUUUUUCUCUGGAUAGUA
Long non-coding RNA from Ictidomys tridecemlineatus (thirteen-lined ground squirrel), 817 nucleotides. RefSeq lists it as uncharacterized. The record is from RefSeq and is a predicted model, not a curated record. NCBI's taxonomy places the organism in Eukaryota, Metazoa, Chordata, Mammalia, Rodentia, Sciuridae.